GAGCAAAUAAAUUUAUUAUGUGCAUAAAAGGUACCUAAAGCUGAAGUCAUAAGGUAUAAUUUGAAGAAACUGUAGAAGAGACUCGCUUUUAGCUCUUUCAAGAUACUUAAUUGCUUCUUUUCCAACUUCACUAGGUAGUUGAAGGCAAAUCCAAUCGAGCAAUGAAUCCAAGUCCUUAGCAAAGUCGAGCAAGUACCAGUCCAACAGUUUAGGGAUUGCAAACUUUGUUGACGAAAUUCCAACUGUAGCCUGUAAGUACUCCUUCUUAGCAACUUCCAGUUCGGCCUCAACGUGAGAAGCAGUAUAUACUCGCACCUUAAUUUCAUUUGACGAAUCAAUAACCAGUAUUAUUUGAUGUUGAUAAGAGGAAAGCUAUAGUCAACUUUAAAGUGACUUUCAACUCAGGAGUCAAACCAUUGAAAACUUACAGCAGGAGAGGACCAGCUUCCACAUGAGAGGGCAAAUGUCACCAAUGGUUCAGAUAGUUCCAAUCCAAACAUGCUCCUGGCAGUCAUUUCAUCGUUCUUGGCACCCUUUGAAAAGGUCUGAUCAGAAAUAAAGUAUAAGAAACAUGACAAAGAAGAAUUGACUAUCAAGCUGACUAAUGUUUGCACUAAACUUAAAUGUGGUGCCACUUACAAAUUUGGAGUGGUAAGGCAAUCUGAGAAUGAAAUGUUCAAUAGUUAUUGCAUUUAGCAGGCGUCGCCCAACAUUUAUAGUUGCCUGUUUCAUCAAAAUUUCUUAUAAAACUACUGGUUACAUCUAAUAGAUUGAAUUGCUGUUAAACCAACAUGGCUGAAUAUGAAACAGAACACUAUCCUAACUAAGAAUGCAUGAAUUUCAACAAUAUUCUGAGGAAAUCAUGUGUUCUGGUACCUUUCUCAUCAAUUCCACAACCAUCUCCGGACUCUCAGGUACUCCAUGUUCUAAGAAUGCCUGAAACAACAUCAUGUAAUAAAUGAUGCCAUCUACUAGAAUAAACCAGUUAUGGAAACAGAAAUCAAAUGCAUUAAAUGCUAAAGUACCCAUGUGAAGGAAAUUAGUAUGAAAUACUUAGUUCGGAUUUUGAUACAUUUUAAACCAACAGUUAAUAUGUGAUAAAAGCCUAAAUAUUUUCUGUUUAUAUUGACAGAAUCCUUCUCAAUACAUACAUUCAUCAUGCAGGAAUUGUAGAUAUUUAUCCAAAAGGCAAGCUUCUCCUGAUGAUUUAGGUUCUGCAAGUUGGAGGCGGCAAGUCUUCCAAGGAGUAGUCUGAGAAUUCAACAUACAAAAUGAUCAUAAGUCCUUAGAAUUUUUACAUACAUUAUUAUAUUAUAUAUUAAAAUAAGAAGAAAAAUAUAACGACUUACUUGAGCCUUCGCAGCAGAAAUAAAGAAUUUGAAGUUCGAUUCAGAUUGAUUGAGCCAGCAUCAAUUGGAAACAAAUGCUUAUAAGGACCAAUAUCUCUCCUUCCAAAAUUCGAACAAAUACCAUACGGGUCCUGAAAUUUUGUUACAUCACUACUUCCUUGGGAGCCUAACAUUGAUAAUGAAGGAAAACUGUCAGCAGCAGAGUUUCUCUUUUUUGAGCUCAUUCUUAAGAAUAUGGUGGACAGACAUUUGACAAGUUCCUCGGAAACUUUAUUAGGGCCAUCAUUUGCCAGCGGUCUCUCUUCUGAAGUGCUAAGAUUCCGCGCUUCUGCACUAUCUAAGUCUCUCACUCUGCAUUCUAACUGAACAUGUAAAACAAGUCAAUACUAAUUUAACAGGUAAUAAGUCUACUGUAACUUGAUGGAAAUGAUAUUGUUGUUUCAUGCCUGCAAUUUUUGAGGGUCUAAACGUUUCUCUACAGGCUUUGAAUCAAUCAAAGGUCUCUUCACAGGAGUUUUCACUGUUGGGCUUUUAUCCACCAAGGAUUCCUUAUUGCUCUUUGUGGAAUUAGUACAAGAUUGGUUCUCUU
RNAcentral lists this long non-coding RNA (1938 nucleotides) under Gossypium barbadense (sea-island cotton). Its description in RNAcentral is "long non-coding RNA (GBAR_LNC016160)". Lineage: Eukaryota; Viridiplantae; Streptophyta; Magnoliopsida; Malvales; Malvaceae. The record is from RNAcentral.